CUGGCGGCACGCCUAACACAUGCAAGUCGAACGCAGUAGCAAUACUGAGUGGCAAACGGGUGAGUAUAAUGUGGGAAUCUGCCUUUUGGUUUGGAAUAACACGGGGAAACUUGUGCUAAUACCGAAUAAGCCCUUACGGGGAAAGUUUUAAUGCCGAAAGAUGAGCCCGCACUUGAUUAGCUAGUUGGUAAGGUAAAAGCUUACCAAGGCAACGAUCAAUAGCUGUUCUUAGAGGAAGACCAGCCACAUUGGGACUGAGACACGGCCCAGACUCCUACGGGAGGCAGCAGUGGGGAAUCUUGCACAAUGGGGGAAACCCUGAUGCAGCGAUGCCGCGUGAGUGAAGAAGGCCUUUGGGUUGUAAAACUCUUUCGUCGGGGAAGAAAAUGACUGUACCCGAAUAAGAAGGUCCGGCUA
RNAcentral lists this ribosomal RNA (417 nucleotides) under uncultured bacterium. Its description in RNAcentral is "bacterial SSU rRNA". It matches the Rfam family "Bacterial small subunit ribosomal RNA", at positions 36 to 499 of the family's 1533-position model. The record is from RNAcentral.